CUACGGGAGGCUGCAGUGGGGAAUAUUGCACAAUGGAGGAAACUCUGAUGCAGCAACGCCGCGUGGAGGAUGACACUUUUCGGAGCGUAAACUCCUUUUAUAUGUCAAGAAAAUGACGGUAGCAUAUGAAUAAGCGCCGGCUAACUCCGUGCCAGCAGCCGCGGUAAUACGGAGGGCGCAAGCGUUACUCGGAAUCACUGGGCGUAAAGAGCGUGUAGGCGGAUUAGAAAGUCAGAAGUGAAAUCCUAUAGCUUAACUAUAGAACUGCUUCUGAAACUCUUAAUCUAGAAUAUGGGAGAGGUAGAUGGAAUUUCUGGUGUAGGGGUAAAAUCCGUAGAGAUCAGGAGGAAUACCGAUUGCGAAGGCGAUCUACUAGAACAUUAUUGACGCUGAGACGCGAAAGCGUGGGGAGCAAACAGGAUUAGAUACCCUAGUAGUC
RNAcentral lists this ribosomal RNA (439 nucleotides) under uncultured bacterium. Its description in RNAcentral is "partial 16S ribosomal RNA". It matches the Rfam family "Bacterial small subunit ribosomal RNA", at positions 339 to 795 of the family's 1533-position model. The record is from RNAcentral.